Molecule: long non-coding RNA, 550 nt
Organism: Dioscorea cayenensis subsp. rotundata (Guinea yam)
Lineage: Eukaryota; Viridiplantae; Streptophyta; Magnoliopsida; Dioscoreales; Dioscoreaceae
Exons: 3
Source: RefSeq, a predicted model, not a curated record
CUUCUUAGAGGAACUCUAAAGCUUGGUGAUGUUGGUGGUCAUUGUUGCAGCCAUUCAAUGAUUCUACUUUCUUUUUGGUUUUAAGGGGAAGAUUAAGCCUCCGAUCGGGGGUUUGUUCUGGGAGCCUUAUUUCUGUGUUUAUUUCGUCAAGGUUGUUCACCUCUAGUUAAUUUUUUGAGGUUGACUUUGACCAGACCUGAGUCUGAUGCCUUGUGCCUAGUGGGGCAUAGCCAUGUUGGAUGCGGCCGAUCUGUCAGUAGGCCCGGUUUUGGGGCUAGGGCAUGAUAUUGUAUGUGAUGGGGUUGUGAAACAAGAGCAAAAGGAGUUUCUUAGAUGGAUUUUUGCAAAAGGAGUUUCUCAAAUAUUUUUUAAGUAGGAAUAUUAAAGUCUUUGUUGAUGGAGAAGGAUUUUAAGAAGACUUUGAAAACCUAAAGUUGUGACUUUCACUCUCCCUGAUGGUGGCUUGCAUUAUUAUAGUUGUCCUACACUUGUACUUUUAUCUUUUUUUGUGUUUUAGUCUUAUUUAACAUUGAAUGAUUAGUUAUGAUGA